RNA transcript from Arabidopsis thaliana (thale cress), 1216 nucleotides. RefSeq lists it as uncharacterized. The record is from RefSeq. The transcript has 2 exons. NCBI's taxonomy places the organism in Eukaryota, Viridiplantae, Streptophyta, Magnoliopsida, Brassicales, Brassicaceae.
CUCAAGAUUUUCCCUCUCUCGGAAACACAGGUGAUUCAAAGUCCCAUGGGAGAUGGAGGACCAUACUCAUAUCUUAUCACUAUUGAAUCAGGGUAGGGGCGGCGAAACUUCUUAUCGAGAAGGAAAACUUUAAACAGAGAAAGAAUCUUAACAAUAAUGAGGCCUUGGGGCACAAUAUAUUCCAGAGAGAUAAUAGAUUGCAAGUUGCCAAGAAAUUCUGCUAGUAGGCAUUGGGGCACUACUGAUAUUCUCAUCGUCACGAUGCUUCACAGCGACCUUCUUUGCCUAGGUAUUGAAAUGGUAAAAAAGGAACACUUUCCCCACAUUUAAGUCAUAAGUUUAGGUAAAUUCUUUAGCUGUGAAAACGAUAAUCUUGAGUUCAUAAGGUCGAUUAUUUUGUUGUUGAGCAAGAUGGUUAUUUUUACUUUCUCACUAUGAAUAGUUGCAUCAGUAAACGCUUGAGGGUUUUAUUCUGAUAUCUCCAGGUCUUGAGUGAUCAUUGCUGAGAAUUUACCCGGAGUAGCUUACAAGGAAUCUGUAUGAAAAGGAAGGUAAAAGAGUAAGCAUUUUAAUUUGUUACAAAAUUACUGUUGAUAUUUGGAACCCUUAUCCCCAAAUCUAGCAAGAAACAAAAACUAAGUAUUCUGAUUCCUCUCCUAGUGGUUGCUCUCCUUUUGCAACUUGGAAAAGAACCCGAACCUGAAGUAAUCACUCUAUAAUGGAAGUUUCUGUAGCUCAAAAUGUUUUCGAAGGAUUUUCGAGGAUAGUGGUGAGAUAUUAUUAUCAACAAAAGAAUGAUCCCUUUACAAAAUUGGAUUCGGACAAACUUUACGCAAAAGAAGGAAAUGGCAUAUUAUCACCAGGAAUCCAUAAGAGCUAGUCCCAUUUGAGGGAAAAAAGUAUCCACAGACACAAGCCUGGUCCAAAAUCAGCCAUAGUAGCAGCCUAUAACAGUAGAGUUCUUUUUAUUUUCUUGUUUCUCGGAAUCUUUGAAUAAAGAACUUAGGAAAUGGAGAAUCUCCAUGCUCAGGGGUUUUUAUUGGUUGAUGAGAGAAUAUAUAAGGAAAAAGAUCUUAAUCAUUUUCUUUUAAGAAUUGAUCUUAAUCUUCUUCUCAUCUGACAUUGUUACCAUAGAACUGUUGUUUUUGUUCUUUUUUUUAAGAGUGAUUUUAUCAGUAAACUGCCACUGCUUUUGUUGAUUUUUGUCUAACAUUUG